UACGAAGGGGGCUAGCGUUGCUCGGAAUCACUGGGCGUAAAACGCACGUAGGCGGAUUGCUAAGUCAGGGGUGAAAUCCUGGAGCUCAACUCCAGAACUGCCUUCGAUACUGCGGGUCUCGAGUCCGGGAGAGGUGAGUGGAAUUCCUAGUGUAGAGGUGAAAUUCGUAGAUAUUAGGAAGAACACCAGUGGCGAAGGCGGCUCACUGGCCCGGUACUGACGCUGAGGCGCGAAAGCGUGGGGAGCAAACAGG
This 253-nucleotide ribosomal RNA is filed under the name uncultured bacterium. Its description in RNAcentral is "partial 16S ribosomal RNA". It matches the Rfam family "Bacterial small subunit ribosomal RNA", at positions 524 to 776 of the family's 1533-position model. The record is from RNAcentral.